GUGCCAGCAGCCGCGGUAAUACAGAGGGGGCAAGCGUUAUUCGGAAUUAUUGGGCGUAAAGGGUGCGUAGGCGGUUUUUUAAGUCAGAUGUGUAAUCCCCGAGCUCAACUUGGGAACUGCAUCUGAAACUGGAAGACUAGAGUGCUGGAGAGGAUGGUGGAAUUCCACGUGUAGCGGUGAAAUGCGUAGAGAUGUGGAGGAACACCAGUGGCGAAGGCGGCCAUCUGGACAGUAACUGACGCUGAAGCACGAAAGUGUGGGUAGCAAACAGGAUUAGAUACCCUGGUAGUCCACACCGUAAACGAUGAACACUUGGUGUAGUGGGCGUUGACCCCCACUGUGCCGUAGCUAACGCGAUAAGUGUUCCGCCUGGGGAGUACGGUCGCAAGGCUGAAACUUAAAUGAAUUGACGGGG
RNAcentral lists this ribosomal RNA (415 nucleotides) under uncultured prokaryote. Its description in RNAcentral is "bacterial SSU rRNA". It matches the Rfam family "Bacterial small subunit ribosomal RNA", at positions 505 to 918 of the family's 1533-position model. The record is from RNAcentral.